RNAcentral lists this ribosomal RNA (253 nucleotides) under uncultured bacterium. RNAcentral's name for it is "partial 16S ribosomal RNA". It matches the Rfam family "Bacterial small subunit ribosomal RNA", at positions 524 to 776 of the family's 1533-position model. The record is from RNAcentral.
UACAGGGGGGGCAAGCGUUGUUCGGAAUUACUGGGCGUAAAGCGUGCGCAGGCGGUCGUGCAAGACAGAUGUGAAAUCCCCGGGCUCAACCUGGGAACUGCAUUUGUGACUGCACGGCUGGAGUGCGGCAGAGGGGGAUGGAAUUCCGCGUGUAGCAGUGAAAUGCGUAGAUAUGCGGAGGAACACCGAUGGCGAAGGCAAUCCCCUGGGCCUGCACUGACGCUCAUGCACGAAAGCGUGGGGAGCAAACAGG